GUAAGCAAUAAAGUUUUGCCGCAGAAGAUUCUGGUUUGUUGCGUCUUUCCUGGCCGGUCGCGAAAGCGUGUAAGAUAUCCCUCCCUGGGGGAGGGCAUAGCAUCAACGGAGUGUGAUGGAGACUGUUCAUAUCAUAGCUGAGAACACAGAGGGAACCAUGGUCACUGGCGGAUGCAAGAGACCUGUCCCUGAUGUGAUCCAAGCAAGAGGAAACCUGCCCUUCUCAAAAGCACAGAUGGAGGGAGGCCUUGCUGCUUCCUGAAGGAGCAAAGCAUGACUCAUUUUUAUAAAAGUGCAUGUGUGUGCGCUUGUGAUGACAACAUGAAAAACAGCCAUGACCUAAUUUAAAUGUUUAAAAGUAACUCAAAGGAAACAGUUCCAAGUGAAGCGUCCGUUCCCCACCUAACAUCCCUCGUUUUUGACUCUGGGGCUUAUUUAUCGAGAUGCUGUCUUCUGAAGACUUGCGGUGACCUCUGAGCCAUCCAUCACCGGAAGGUGUAGGAAAGGGACGUACUCAGAAAUGCCUGAUGACUUCUAAACGUCCCUCACCUCACGAGACCCCAGACAGCUACCUCUUUUGGUUUCUUCACAACAAAUAACAACUGUUCUUAUUUCCAAUACCAUAAAUCCAUGUUACCCAAUUUUAAAUUGCCUGUAAGUAUCCGUCAUGAUGCUUGCUCAUUUCUUCAGGAUUUGUACACUGGACAUCAUGUCUGUCAGUCGUCCAUUGCCGUGUGAUGCUCUGCUGGGGAAACUUCUCGCUACUUCCUUUAGUUGGUGGAUCUUUGGAUUGCUAGGUUGGGGCUGUCAUGAGUAAUGAGGCUAUGACCUAUUUGAUGUGUCUGUUGUACACACGUGUGAAAACGUCUCCUGAAUACCCAUCAUCAUGGUGAGUUGUGGUAGAAAUCGUGCUAUUUUGCUAACCUCUCCAAAGCCAUUUGAAGUGGUUUCACCGUAAACAAAACCAAAUGCAGAAAUCCCUUAAUAUAAACAGACGUUCAUUCUUCUUCAGAAGUGGCAUGAGCAAACACUUUCAUAGGCAG
This is a long non-coding RNA of Mus musculus (house mouse), 1043 nucleotides long. RefSeq annotates it as predicted gene, 31259. Lineage: Eukaryota; Metazoa; Chordata; Mammalia; Rodentia; Muridae. The record is from RefSeq and is a predicted model, not a curated record. The transcript has 5 exons.